This 68-nucleotide transfer RNA is filed under the name Planctomyces sp. SCGC AG-212-M04. It matches the Rfam family "tRNA". From Rfam's summary of the family: Transfer RNA (tRNA) molecules are approximately 80 nucleotides in length. Their secondary structure includes four short double-helical elements and three loops (D, anti-codon, and T loops). Lineage: Bacteria; Pseudomonadati; Planctomycetota; Planctomycetia; Planctomycetales; Planctomycetaceae. The record is from Rfam by way of RNAcentral.
UCGGAUAGCUCAGCAGGGAGAGCACCAGGCUACUAACCUGGUUGUCACGGGUUCGAUUCCCGUUCCGA